AUUACCCAAUACGGACACGGGGAGGUAGUGACAAGAAAUAACAAUACAGGGCUAAUGUCUUGUAAUUGGAAUGAUGGUGACCCACACCCUCACCAGAGUAGCAAUUGGAGGGCAAGUCUGGUGCCAGCAGCCGCGGUAAUUCCAGCUCCAAUAGCGUAUAUUAAACUUGUUGCAGUUAAAAAGCUCGUAGUUGAAUUUUAGCGUGUUCGAGUUUGCCAUUCGUUUGGCUUUUUCGAGUUCGCUUUUGGGUUUUCCCUUUUUACUUUGAGAAAAUUAGAGUGUUUCAAGCAGACUUUUGUCUUGAAUACUUCAGCAUGGAAUAAUAGAGUAGGACUUUGGUUCUAUUUUGUUGGUUAUUGAACCUUAGUAAUGGUUAAUAGGAACGGUUGGGGGCAUUCGUAUUUAA
This 406-nucleotide ribosomal RNA is filed under the name Babesia vogeli. Its description in RNAcentral is "SSU rRNA". It matches the Rfam family "Eukaryotic small subunit ribosomal RNA", at positions 440 to 901 of the family's 1831-position model. The record is from RNAcentral. Lineage: Eukaryota; Apicomplexa; Aconoidasida; Piroplasmida; Babesiidae.